RNAcentral lists this transfer-messenger RNA (357 nucleotides) under Akkermansiaceae. RNAcentral describes it as "Luteolibacter sp017301995 Standard tmRNA". It matches the Rfam family "transfer-messenger RNA". Rfam says of the family: Bacterial tmRNA, also known as 10Sa RNA or SsrA, is named for its dual tRNA and mRNA-like properties. Its role is to liberate the mRNA from a stalled ribosome. To accomplish this part of the tmRNA is used as a reading frame that ends in a translation stop signal. The record is from RNAcentral. RNAcentral also lists the same sequence under 1 other name. Lineage: Bacteria; Pseudomonadati; Verrucomicrobiota; Verrucomicrobiia; Verrucomicrobiales.
GGGGGCGUUCCGGUUUCGACGGGAUGUCUGAUGCGCUGGCUGCACGUGGAGGUUGAUCGGCUGGCCUCCUUAAAAGCCGCUCAAAACAAACAAAUGCAGACUCUAACGAGCUCGCACUGGCUGCUUAAUUGACAGUCACGUCCGACCCCCGACGCCUGUUACGGGGAAGGGCGACACCUAACAGGCUGGGCGGAGCGCCGGGGAACCGGGCACCCCGCCGAGACCAAACAGGCUCCUAGGAACGACAACGCCGCACGGGGGCCGAGCCGAUCCGAAACACCAGACCCCAUGCUAAACGUGUAGAUGCCCGCGUUGACGGCGUUUCGGACAGGGGUUCGACUCCCCUCGCCUCCACUG